AGUGAACGCUGGCGGCGUGCUUAACACAUGCGAGUCGAACGAGAACGGAAUAUAGCUUGCUAUAUUUGUCAGCUAAGUGGCGCACGGGUGAGUAAUGUAUAGAUAACCUGCCCUUAAGAAAGGAAUAACAGUUGGAAACGACUGCUAAUGCCCUAUAUGCCUUUAAUACAUAAGUAUGCAAGGGAAACGCUUUAGUGCUUAAGGAUGGGUCUGUAUGGUAUCAGCUUGUUGGUGAGGUAAUGGCCCACCAGGGCUAUGACGCCUAACUGGUUUGAGAGGAUGAUCAGUCACACUGGAACUGAGACACGGUCCAGACUCCUACGGGAGGCAGCAGUGGGGAAUAUUGCACAAUGGACGAAAGUCUGAUGCAGCAACGCCGCGUGGAGGAUGACACAUUUCGGUGCGUAAACUCCUUUUAUAUAGGAAGAUAAUGACGGUACUAUAUGAAUAAGCACCGGCUAACUCCGUGCCAGCCGCCGCCGUAA
Molecule: ribosomal RNA, 485 nt
Filed under: uncultured bacterium
Lineage: Bacteria
Description: partial 16S ribosomal RNA
Rfam family: Bacterial small subunit ribosomal RNA
Source: RNAcentral